Molecule: ribosomal RNA, 628 nt
Filed under: uncultured fungus
Lineage: Eukaryota; Fungi
Description: LSU rRNA
Rfam family: Eukaryotic large subunit ribosomal RNA
Source: RNAcentral
ACCCGCUGAACUUAAGCAUAUCAAUAAGCGGAGGAAAAGAAACUAACAAGGAUUCCCCUAGUAACGGCGAGUGAAGAGGGAAAAGCUCAAAUUUUGAAUCCGACGUCUUCGGCGUCCGAGUUGUAAUCUAGAGAAGUGUUUUCCGUGUCGGACCGUGCACAAGUUCCCUGGAACGGGGCGUCAUAGAGGGUGAGAAUCCCGUACGUGGCACGGACUCCCGGUGCUCUGCGAUACACUCUCAACGAGUCGAGUUGUUUGGGAAUGCAGCUCAAAAUGGGUGGUAAAUUUCAUCUAAAGCUAAAUAUUGGCCAGAGACCGAUAGCGCACAAGUAGAGUGAUCGAAAGAUGAAAAGCACUUUGGAAAGAGAGUUAAACAGUACGUGAAAUUGUUGAAAGGGAAGCGCUUGCAAUCAGACUUGCGCCUAGUCGAUCAUCCGGGCUUCUGCCCGGUGCACUCGAUUAGGCUCAGGCCAGCAUCGGUUUGGGUGGUUGGAUAAAGGCUUGGGGAACGUAGCCUCCUUCGGGGGGUGUUAUAGCCCCAGGUGCAAUGCAGCCUACCUGGACCGAGGACCGCGCUUCGGCUAGGAUGCUGGCGUAAUGGUUGUAAGCGACCCGUCUUGAAACACGG